UACGUAGGGGGCAAGCGUUGUCCGGAUUCAUUGGGCGUAAAGAGCGUGUAGGCGGCCAGGUAGGUCGGUUGUGAAAACUGGAGGCUCAACCUUCAGAGGUCGACCGAAACCAUCUGGCUAGAGUCCGGGAGAGGAGAGUGGAAUUCCUGGUGUAGCGGUGAAAUGCGCAGAUAUCAGGAAGAACACCCGUGGCUAAGGCGGCUCUCUGGUACGGUACUGACGCUGAGACGCGGAAGCGUGGGGAGCGAACAGG
This 253-nucleotide ribosomal RNA is filed under the name uncultured bacterium. Its description in RNAcentral is "partial 16S ribosomal RNA". It matches the Rfam family "Bacterial small subunit ribosomal RNA", at positions 524 to 776 of the family's 1533-position model. The record is from RNAcentral.